GACGAACGCUGGCGGCGUGCUUAACACAUGCAAGUCGAGCGGUAAGGCCCUUUCGGGGGUACACGAGCGGCGAACGGGUGAGUAACACGUGGGUGACCUGCCCUCAGCUCUGGGAUAAGCCUGGGAAACUGGGUCUAAUACUGGAUAUGACUCCACGGUGCAUGUCGUGGGGUGGAAAGCCUUGUGCGGCUGAGGAUGGGCCCGCGGCCUAUCAGCUUGUUGGUGGGGUGAUGGCCUACCAAGGCGACGACGGGUAGCCGGCCUGAGAGGGCGACCGGCCACACUGGGACUGAGACACGGCCCAGACUCCUACGGGAGGCAGCAGUGGGGAAUCUUGCGCAAUGGGCGAAAGCCUGACGCAGCGACGCCGCGUGAGGGAUGACGGCCUG
This 389-nucleotide ribosomal RNA is filed under the name uncultured bacterium. Its description in RNAcentral is "bacterial SSU rRNA". It matches the Rfam family "Bacterial small subunit ribosomal RNA", at positions 28 to 418 of the family's 1533-position model. The record is from RNAcentral.